AAACUAUUAACAUUUACUAUAAAAUUUUGAAACUUUGUAUAAAAAUAUACAUAUAUAUAGGUGUAAUAACGAAUUUGAAAUAGCUACUCCUAUAGCCGGUUUGAUUCGAUUUUUUCAGUUUUUUUGAUUAAAAUUAUAACCAAACCAAAUUUGAUCAGUUUUUAAAAUUCAAAACCAAAACCAAACCAAACCAAACCGAAAAAUAUCGAGUUUUUUUAUCGAUUUAGUUUGGUUUUCGAUUUGUUUCGAUUUUUUAGAAUUUUAUUAACACCCCUACUCGAUGUUAUUUUUGAGACUAAAAAUACCUCUACGACUAACGACAAAAUUUGUAAACCCCACUUUUAAUGCGCUGGCAUCAUGUUGGACCGUGUGGCUCUUGGUGUCAGUCCAUACAUAUGGGUAAAAUACACCCACCUCUUUUAAGACCUGCCUCAUUUAUUUUAGUCCCACUUCAUAUCCAGAUAUCCUUUAUCUGUCUUUAGUAAAGCAAUGAAAUACAGCACUGAAAUUAAAACAACAACAACAAUCAUGGAUACUCUCUGGCUCCCAGAAGCAAUCCAUCUUUUCUCACUACCUCUAAAAUUUCUAAUAAACUUUGCCCUCAUUUACAACACCAUCUCUCCUUAUUCACUUCCUCAAAGUCUCAAACCUAGAAUUUAUCAAAAAAUCUUCACUGCAAAAUUAACACCUAUCUCCUUGUCAAAGUUCCAAUACUAGAAACAAUCCACCAAAAAAAAUAUCUACUACCAAAAUUAUUAUUUUUUGACUGGCCAGUUUAGGAAAAUAAAAAGUAUCCAAACCUCCUAUAAAAAUACACUGACACUUGCGUGAUGAUAGAAUUCAAUUACUGCAGUAAGUUGAUUUUGCUAGAGAUAGAAAAAGAAUAAAGAUAUAUACAGAGAGAGAGACAAAAACAAAUGAAAAAUAGCUUUAAAGUAAGAAAAGGUGAUUUAGAAAAAAUUUAAAGCUACCGUCGGCAAAAUUAAAGCACGAGCCUUCGACAUUACCGGAAUAGAGGUGAAAACCGAUUUCCCAGCCCAUAUAACUUUGUUGUUUUCUGUGCUAUUUUCAGAUUGUGGGAGCUUAAAUGGAGAAAUGUGCAGGUCUUCUCAAAGAAGAAGAACUGGAAAAAAGAAGAAAAAGAAAAAAGAUGGAUCGGGUUAUAAUAGAGUUGGAGCGGGUUAAAUAAUGAGGCGGGUAAAUCUGAAUAUAAGAAAUAAAAUGAGGAGCCACACGGUCCGAUUAUAUGAUGCCAAAGCAUUAAAAGUAGGGUCCAUAAAUUCUGUCGUUAGUCCUAGGUGUAUUUUUAGUAUUAGAAAUAAUGGUGUGUAUAUUUUUGGCACGUAGCAUAAAAAUAAAAAUAUUUAUUAAACGAUAAGGGCAUUUUUAGCCCUUUUCUCUUUUUACAAUGACUCAACA
RNAcentral lists this long non-coding RNA (1419 nucleotides) under Nicotiana benthamiana. Its description in RNAcentral is "long non-coding RNA (NBEN_LNC007214)". Lineage: Eukaryota; Viridiplantae; Streptophyta; Magnoliopsida; Solanales; Solanaceae. The record is from RNAcentral.